Molecule: ribosomal RNA, 254 nt
Filed under: uncultured bacterium
Lineage: Bacteria
Description: partial 16S ribosomal RNA
Rfam family: Bacterial small subunit ribosomal RNA
Source: RNAcentral
AACGGAGGGUGCAAGCGUUGUUCGGAAUUACUGGGCGUAAAGCGCGUGCAGGCGGCCCUUUAAGUCUCGUAUGAAAUCCCUCGGCCUAACCGAGGAACUGUGCGGGAAACUGGAGGGCUACGAGUCCGGGAGAAGAGGGCGGAAUUCCCAGUGUAGAGGUGAAAUUCGUAGAUAUUGGGAGGAACACCAGCGGCGAAGGCGGCUCUCUAGACCGGUACUGACGCUCAUACGCGAGAGCGCGGGUAGCAAACAGG